CUGCUUAGGUAAAUCCGGGCGGUUAAGGCUGAGAACUGAUGACGAGUGCUCAUUAGAGCGCGAAGUGGUUGAUGCCAUGCUUCCAAGAAAAGCCUCUAAGCUUCAGAUAACUAGGAACCGUACCCCAAACCGACACAGGUGGUUGGGUAGAGAAUACCAAGGCGCUUGAGAGAACUCGGGUGAAGGAACUAGGCAAAAUGGCACCGUAACUUCGGGAGAAGGUGCGCCGGUGAGGGUGAAGCAUUUACUGCGUAAGCCCAUGCCGGUCGAAGAUACCAGGCCGCUGCGACUGUUUAUUAAAAACACAGCACUCUGCAAACACGAAAGUGGACGUAUAGGGUGUGACGCCUGCCCGGUGCCGGAAGGUUAAUUGAUGGGGUUAGCUAACGCGAAGCUCUUGAUCGAAGCCCCGGUAAACGGCGGCCGUAACAAUAACGGUCCUAAGGUAGCGAAAUUCCUUGUCGGGUAAGUUCCGACCUGCACGAAUGGCGUAACGAUGGCGGCGCUGUCUCCACCCGAGACUCAGUGAAAUUGAAAUCGCUGUGAAGAUGCAGUGUAUCCGCGGCUAGACGGAAAGACCCCGUGAACCUUUACUAUAGCUUUGCACUGGACUUUGAAUUUGCUUGUGUAGGAUAGGUGGGAGGCUUUGAAGCGAGGACGCCAGUUCUUGUGGAGCCAAUCUUGAAAUACCACCCUGGCAACUUUGAGGUUCUAACUCUGGUCCGUUAUCCGGAUCGAGGACAGUGUAUGGUGGGUAGUUUGACUGAGGCGGUCUCCUCCUAAAGAGUAACGGAGGAGUACGAAGGUGCGCUCAGACCGGUCGGAAAUCGGUCGUAGAGUAUAAAGGCAAAAGCGCGCUUGACUGCGAGACAGACACGUCGAGCAGGUACGAAAGUAGGUCUUAGUGAUCCGGUGGUUCUGUAUGGAAGGGCCAUCGCUCAACGGAUAAAAGGUACUCCGGGGAUAACAGGCUGAUACCGCCCAAGAGUUCAUAUCGACGGCGGUGUUUGGCACCUCGAUGUCGGCUCAUCACAUCCUGGGGCUGAAGCCGGUCCCAAGGGUAUGGCUGUUCGCCAUUUAAAGUGGUACGCGAGCUGGGUUUAGAACGUCGUGAGACAGUUCGGUCCCUAUCUGCCGUGGACGUUUGAGAUUUGAGAGGGGCUGCUCCUAGUACGAGAGGACCGGAGUGGACGAACCUCUGGUGUUCCGGUUGUCACGCCAGUGGCAUCGCCGGGUAGCUAUGUUCGGAAUAGAUAACCGCUGAAAGCAUCUAAGCGGGAAACUAGCCUCAAGAUGAGAUCUCACUGGGACCUUGAGUCCCCUGAAGGGCCGUCGAAGACUACGACGUUGAUAGGUGGGGUGUGUAAGCGUUGUGAGGCGUUGAGCUAACCCAUACUAAUUGCCCGUGAGGCUUGACC
RNAcentral lists this ribosomal RNA (1418 nucleotides) under metagenome. RNAcentral describes it as "bacterial LSU rRNA". It matches the Rfam family "Bacterial large subunit ribosomal RNA", at positions 1528 to 2925 of the family's 2925-position model. The record is from RNAcentral.